CCUCUAUUCAUCUCCUAUUCGUCUCGAUAAACAUUCUCUUCCCCAGGACCAAAACCCUGAUUCCCACCUUCAAUGGCUUCUCCCUGUCUUCGGUCUAUGAACCGCACCUCCAUCUCUUCUUUCAAAUCCUUCAUCACGAAAUCCAAGCUUCCAUCAUCCACCCGAUCGCAGUCCUUCGCCUCUCGAUUCAUCUCCAGGUCUCCUGUUGAAUUGGGAUGCGUCAGUGGAUCUCUGUUCCCAAGCCAAUCAGCCGUGCCUAUGUCUGGGCUGGCUUCGCCUAUGAUCUUGACGUCAAGAAGCUUUAGCUCUCUCUCACAGGGGACAUAAAUUUACUGGUACUAGGAAGAGGACAUGGGGUCUGGCGUAUGUGUCCAGCAUGCUUUCUCAAACUGCCAAAUCGACUCAAUGGGUCAUGAAAAACAUCGCUUCCUCUAUCUGCUGAAGAGACGAAGAUAAGUUGCUGGUUGAAUUUGUAACACUUGAAAAAUCAUGGUGGAUGAGAUAAUUUGUUUGGAUGAGCCUGGGGCUGAAUUUUAUGUUAAAAGUUUUUGGAUUCAGCUGAAUGUUUCUAUUUGUUUCUUUCUCUUGUAAUUUAUAUAAUAUUUUAUUUUUCAUAUUAAAUUCCUGUUUGCUUUCUCUCAUUAACUGGAAGUUGUUUGAUGGCCUACACUCUGAGCAAAGCGCGUGAAGAUUUGUAUGGAUAUGUUAAUUCUAGAA
Molecule: RNA transcript, 717 nt
Organism: Asparagus officinalis (garden asparagus)
Lineage: Eukaryota; Viridiplantae; Streptophyta; Magnoliopsida; Asparagales; Asparagaceae
Exons: 4
Source: RefSeq, a predicted model, not a curated record